Molecule: long non-coding RNA, 200 nt
Filed under: Lathyrus oleraceus (garden pea)
Lineage: Eukaryota; Viridiplantae; Streptophyta; Magnoliopsida; Fabales; Fabaceae
Description: Pisum sativum (pea) long non-coding RNA (PSAT_LNC004676)
Source: RNAcentral
AAACAUGCAGCAAUCCAAACCAAUACCACCAAGAUCGAAAUGAAACUUCGCACUUAAAUAAUAUACUUCAUUCUUAUAGAUAAAUAAUUAAUAAAACUAUCAUCACAGGACAUAUAAUACGAUUUUUUUAUUGAUUCGUUUUAGUAGAAAUUGUAAAAUUUCUAUAACCAAAUUAAUAAUAAUAGUUAAGCCAUAUUUUC